Phalacrocorax carbo (great cormorant) is the source of this 1380-nucleotide non-coding RNA. Lineage: Eukaryota; Metazoa; Chordata; Aves; Suliformes; Phalacrocoracidae. The record is from RefSeq and is a predicted model, not a curated record.
CCGGGAGUUGUAGUCCCGUCCCGCCCCGCUGCCUGCCUGUCCGUCCGUCCGUCCGUCCCGCCGCCGUGAAGCAUGGCGGAUGGGGGCGGGCUAGGAGGGUGCCCCAGGGUACCGCUCGCUAACGGCCGGAGCAUCCCGGUGCUGGGGCUCGGUACUUCCCAUCAAGGUGGCUAUUCCCAUGAUGCUGUGGUCCAUGCAUUACAAAAAUGUGGCAUUUGUCAUAUUGACACAGCAAAAAGAUACGGCUGUGAAUCUCUCCUCCAAAAAGCCAUCAAAGAGAGUGGUGUGAAGCGAGAGGACCUCUGGAUAACUACAAAACUGUGGCAUAGUGAUUAUGGCUAUGAAAACACAAGAAAAGCCUGCCUGGAGUCAUGUGAAAGACUUGGUGUCAGGUAUCUUGAUCUUUAUUUAAUACACUGGCCUGAUGCACAUGACCCGGGUAAAAGCAAUCGAGAGGUCCGAGCUGAAACCUGGAGAGCGAUGGAGGAGCUCUAUGAGAAAGGUUUGUGUAGAUCAAUUGGCGUAAGCAACUUUCUUAUCAGUCAUCUUGAGCAACUAAAGGAAGACUGUGGGAUUACUCCACAUGUUAAUCAGGUUGAAUACCACCCUUUCCAAAGACCUCAGGAGCUGGUGGAUUAUUGUAGGAGGAGAGACAUUGUUUUUGAAGGCUACUGCCCUUUGGCCAAAGGUGAAGCACUCACUCACCCUAGUAUCAUUCAGCUGGCAAAGAAAUACAGCAGAACUCCAGCACAGAUUUGCAUACGCUGGAGCAUACAGAAUGGGAUUGUCACUAUUCCAAAGUCCACAAAAGCAGAAAGGAUACAGGAAAACUGCAAGGUGUUUGAUUUUACAAUAGCAGAAGAUGAUGUUGACAUUCUGAACGGAAUGCAUGAUGGGAGACACGUUUCCUGGGACCCAAGCCUUAUUCUGUGAACGAAGCCUGUAGGUAUAUCAAAGUAGAAAUCUUUCCGGGGAAGCCCAUGUACAAAUAAACUGUCUUCAUGGCUCAGGAUUGAGCAGCAAGCUCCAAGAGCCAAAGAAGCAUCUUUGUUAUUAGUGAUCUUCUUUUACUGGAAAUUCUGGUUUUUGAGUUCAAUCUGAGGGAAGAAGAUACGGAAUUUUGGAAUGCUGUGAAUCUCAACAGAAAAUUAAUUCAUCUAACCUAUCCGCUGUGGAAAGGAUAAUUUAAAACCAGAUUGUGCUGCACCGCCGAAGUGAUGCAACUGAACAGUAAUUCAUUUUUAACUGAAAAUAAAUCUAAAUUGUUCUCCUGGGUACUCAGAGUACCUAAUAAAUAUUCAUCAAUGAUCAAAAAUCAGUAUCAGUGGCUUGUAUUUACCGUUAUGCUAAUGGCUUAAUAAAAUCACUUUGUUUACUCUU